AACCUAGCACACCUGCGGUGUGUACCUGCGGAAGGAUCAUUACCGAGUUUACAAACUCCCAACCCUUUGUGAACCUUACCAUAUUGUUGCUUCGGCGGGACCGCCCCGGCGCCUUCGGGCCCGGAACCAGGCGCCCGCCGGAGGCCCCAAACUCUUAUGUCUUUAGUGGUUUUCUCCUCUGAGUGACACAUAAACAAAUAAAUAAAAACUUUCAACAACGGAUCUCAGAUCGGAAGAGCA
Molecule: unclassified non-coding RNA, 240 nt
Filed under: soil metagenome
Description: partial contains 5.8S ribosomal RNA, internal transcribed spacer 2, and large subunit ribosomal RNA
Source: RNAcentral